CCUACGCGUGGCUGCAGUCGAGAAUCAUUCACAAUGGGGGAAACCCUGAUGGUGCGACGCCGCGUGGGGGAAUGAAGGUCUUCGGAUUGUAAACCCCUGUCAUGUGGGAGCAAAUUAAAAAGAUAGUACCACAAGAGGAAGAGACGGCUAACUCUGUGCCAGCAGCCGCGGUAAUACAGAGGUCUCAAGCGUUGUUCGGAAUCACUUGGCGUAAAGCGUGCUUAGGCGGUUUGGUAAGUCGUGUGUGAAAGGCACGGGCUCAACCCGCGGACGGCACAUGAUACUGCGAGACUAGAGUAAUGGAGGGGGAACCGGAAUUCGCGGUGUAGCAGUGAAAGGCGUAGAUAGCGAGAGGAACACUCGUGGCGAAGGCGGGUUCCUGGACAUUAACUGACGCUGAGGCACGAAGGCCAGGGGAGCGAAAGGGAUUAGAUACCCUAGUAGUC
RNAcentral lists this ribosomal RNA (446 nucleotides) under uncultured bacterium. Its description in RNAcentral is "partial 16S ribosomal RNA". It matches the Rfam family "Bacterial small subunit ribosomal RNA", at positions 338 to 795 of the family's 1533-position model. The record is from RNAcentral.